RNAcentral lists this ribosomal RNA (440 nucleotides) under uncultured bacterium. RNAcentral describes it as "partial 16S ribosomal RNA". It matches the Rfam family "Bacterial small subunit ribosomal RNA", at positions 338 to 795 of the family's 1533-position model. The record is from RNAcentral.
CCUACGGGAGGCAGCAGUGGGGAAUAUUGCACAAUGGGGGAAACCCUGAUGCAGCGACGCCGCGUGAGUGAAGAAGUAUUUCGGUAUGUAAAGCUCUAUCAGCAGGGAAGAAAAUGACGGUACCUGAUUAAGAAGCCCCGGCUAACUACGUGCCAGCAGCCGCGGUAAUACGUAGGGGGCAAGCGUUAUCCGGAUUUACUGGGUGUAAAGGGAGCGUAGACGGCAGCACAAGUCUGGAGUGAAAUGCCGGGGCUUAACCCCGGAACUGCUUUGGAAACUGUGCAGCUAGAGUGCAGGAGAGGUAAGUGGAAUGCCUAGUGUAGCGGUGAAAUGCGUAGAUAUCAGGAGGAACACCGGUGGCGAAGGCGGCUUACUGGACCAUAACUGACGUUGAGGCUCGAAAGCGUGGGGAGCGAACAGGAUUAGAUACCCGAGUAGUC